This is a long non-coding RNA of Salvia splendens (bonfire salvia), 493 nucleotides long. RefSeq lists it as uncharacterized. The transcript is spliced from 2 exons. Lineage: Eukaryota; Viridiplantae; Streptophyta; Magnoliopsida; Lamiales; Lamiaceae. The record is from RefSeq and is a predicted model, not a curated record.
UUGAUACUCCAUCACAAUUACAAAAUCUCAUUUACUCAGCAAAAUCAAACAAAGCUUCGGGGAUGAUGGUUUCAUCUUCAUCUGAUUGCUCCCAGUUAUUCGAGGACGUGCAAAACAAACUUGAUUCAACUAUGCCAUGGAUAGGAUUGUAUAUUGCAGCUGCCACUGCCUUGUGCACUCUUGCUAUGGCGGCUGAUGCUUUCAUUGGACUUAGAAGCAAAAGGUUGAGUGGCGGCGAGAGGUUGGUGGUGUUGAGCAAGUAACUUGAAGAAUUUAAUGUUUAUCUUUGAAUUAUGGGUGUUGUUGUGUCUUCACACAUGACGUCACUCCUUCUCUUGGUCGUUUUCCGCUGCGAUACUUCUUUUACUUAUUAGUUGUUGGGCCCGAACCUAAAUUUGUCCGGUUAUUGGUUUCUUGUGAUUUUGUUGGAUAAUGUCAAACUCUUAAUCGUUUCCCUUUGAGUAUUAAUUGCCGGCCCAAAUCAUUAUUUAAA